This 253-nucleotide ribosomal RNA is filed under the name uncultured bacterium. Its description in RNAcentral is "partial 16S ribosomal RNA". It matches the Rfam family "Bacterial small subunit ribosomal RNA", at positions 524 to 776 of the family's 1533-position model. The record is from RNAcentral.
UACAGAGGUCUCAAGCGUUGUUCGGAUUCAUUGGGCGUAAAGGGUGCGUAGGCGGCGCGGUAAGUCGGGUGUGAAAUCUCGGAGCUUAACUCCGAAACUGCAUUCGAUACUGCCGUGCUUGAGGACUGGAGAGGAGACUGGAAUUUACGGUGUAGCGGUGAAAUGCGUAGAUAUCGGGAGGAACACCGGUGGCGAAGGCGGCCCCCUGGUUGGAUACUGACGCUGAGACGCGAAAGCGUGGGGAGCAAACAGG